AGUUAGGAGAACACUAGAAAAACUAGGAGAACACUAGAAAAACUAGGAGAACACUAGAAGAGUUAGGAGAACACUAGAAGAGUUAGGAGAACACUAGAAGAGUUAGGAGAACACUAGAAGAGUUAGGAGAACACUAGAAGAGUUAGGAGAACACUAGAAGAGUUAGGAGAACACUAGAAGAGUUAGGAGAACACUAGAAGAGUUAGGAGAACACUAGAAGAGUUAGGAGAACACUAGAAAAACUAGGAGAACACUAGAAGAGUUGUUUGGAGAACACUAGAAGAUUUAGAACACUAGAAGAGUUAGGAGAACACUAGAAGAGUUAGGAGAACACUAGAAGAGUUAGGAGAACACUAGAAGAGUUAGGAGAACACUAGAAGAGUUAGGAGAACACUAGAAAAACUAGGAGAACACUAGAAGAAAGAGUUGGAGAACACUAGAAGAGUUUGGAGAACACUAGAAAAACUAGAACACUAGAAGAGUUAAGAGAACACUAGAAGAAUUAGGAGAACACUAGAAGAGUUGUUUGGAGAACACUAGAAGAAUUAGGAGAACACUAGAAGAAUUAGGAGAACACUAGAAGAAUUAGGAGAACACUAGAAAAACUAGGAGAACACUAGAAGAGUUAGUUGGAGAACACUAGAAGAGUUUGGAGAACACUAGAAGAGUUUGGAGAACACUAGAAGAGUUAGGAGAACACUAGAAGAGUUAGGAGAACACUAGAAGAAUUAGGAGAACACUAGAAGAGUUGUUUGGAGAACACUAGAAGAGUUGUUUGGAGAACACUAGAAGAGUUUGGAGAACACUAGAAGAGUUAGGAGAACACUAGAAGAGUUAGGAGAACACUAGAAGAGUUUGGAGAACACUAGAAGAGUUUGGAGAACACUAGAAGAGUUAGGAGAACACUAGAAGAGUUGUUUGGAGAACACUAGAAGAGUUUGGAGAACACUAGAAGAGUUUGGAGAACACUAGAAGAGUUAGGAGAACACUAUAGAAAUAAAUGAGUCUCAUGGAUUGUUUCAUGUUUGACACUAUGGAAUAAUGUCUCAGAUAAAAGCAUGCAACUUUUCACCAGAUAAGCACAGAACAGAGAUUAACAAAAAGUAUCGUUUUUAUUUCACAACUUUGGAAUUGCCUUGGAAAAGUGCCAGUUUACUGGUACUCUGCAACUGUGGAACUUUCUGACAUUGAAGAACAUUGUACCAUAGCAGAGCUAUAAGACUGGGCCCCUCUAUCCCAGCACCUGUGUUCCAUAUACACAGACACAUCAAUGACACAUAGACAUACAGUAGAUAGAUGCUGUAGGUAUAGUGAUACAUGUAAAUAUAUAAGAUAGAUAUAGUGAUACAUAUCGUAGAUUCUAUAGCUAUAGAUAGACCCACAGUAGAUAGAUAUACUGGUGCAUAGAUAUAGUGAGACCUAGACACUGAAGCCAUGUUCGCUCUAUGUGCCACGACUCUCCUGUACUUCCUGUCUUUUAGCCAAUCAGCUCCUGCUGCAGCUCUAGCCUGUGAGGACCUCCUUAAGCCCAUGGAUCCACCACGACUAGACCAGCAGCUCUUGAGGAGAUGGGCCCUCGUCGCAGGCAGCUUGAGCCACCCUGCAUCCCUGGAGAGUCUCAAGACCAGAGACGGCAUCACCAUGGAGUUUUCACCCUCUACCCCCAACACCACCCAGAACUCCAACACCGCCACAACCGUCCACUACACCCAGACUAACCGUUUUGGCAGCCGUUGCGAGUCUCUAACCUACAAUAUCUCACUCAUCAACGACAACAGCACCUUCCAAUUCAACGUGGGGGGCCGAUUCAACCUCACUGGGGUCUUCCUGGAGACCUCCUGCCCAGACUGUCUGGUGAUGAAGUGGGUCAUUUAUAGAAUUGUACAUUUGAGCCAUUUAGCACACACUCUUAUCCAGAACAACUUACUGUUAGGGGUUAUUCCAGUGUUUUUCAACUCUGGUCCAGGUGUACCCACGUUUCUGUUGGAGAUCCACACAAACACACCUGAUUCUACUAGUCAACUAAUCACCAAGGCCUUGACAAGUUGAGUCAGGUGUGGUUGCCCAGGGCUACAGCAAGAAUGUGUACUGUUGGGGGGUAGAUUAGGGCUGGAGUUGAGAAACACUGGUGUAGGCUAUUCAGGUCAGGUAGGUAGAAACAACCACAUACUGCAUUACAAUCACUGCAAGUAAACCGUUCUUCAAAACACCCACUGGGCACAGAAGUCAUUUCACUGAAAUGACCCGUAACCCUAACCCUAACCCCUGAAAUGACCCCAAACCCUAACCCAAACCCUAACCCCUGAAAUGACGUGGAAACAACAUUGAUUCAACCAGUGUGUGCCCAGUGGAUAGCCUCUAUCCCCCUCAAACUCAACUCUGGACCUCUAAUCAGGGACUGAUUUAGACUUGGGACACCAGGUGGGUGAAAGUAAUUAUCAGGUAGAACAGAAGAACCAGCAGGCUCUGGAUCUCGUAGGGUAAGAGGUGAAUACGCCUGCUCUAUCAGCUAAACCAGUGCCAGGAAGAAGAACAAGUGCCGGUGUGAGUACAAGGAAAGUACAACAGUAAAGUAUCAUUAUUAUUUUAGGUGGGAGGUGAGCUCCAGGAGGAGGGAGUCCACGGACCUGUACCUGCUGAGGAAGACGGAGGGUGGGAGAGAGGUGGAGGAAGAGGAGAUGGAAGAGUUCAGGAAACAGGUGGAGUGUAUGGGGCUGCCGCCGCCAGUGGUGAUGGAGCCGGGGGAUGCCCACUGUGGGUCCUAUCAGCUGCCCUGGAAACACUGAGGAGGAGGAGAAGACGAAGCUCGAUCAGAGUGAUCCGAGAGUGGGGGCCGUGAGACCGAUGUAGAGACACGUUUUCUGUCGUCUGUUUUGUAAUCCAACAUUUCUGUGUUUACUGUUUGUCGAUGACCUGUAGAAUUUUGAGGGGGGGAAAAAGAUGCACGAUUUGUCAUAUUAUUCUGUCUUCUUUGCUUCUUUAACAGAUGUAAUUACGUUCACAGACUGAUUUAAUGUCCCAGAGCUGCAGCUAAUUCACAGAGACAGUGGGAUCCAGCAGGAAUGUCGGGGCGUCAUUAGGACUCUAUGCACAAUGGGAAAGAAAAGUCUUUUAGAAUUGGAUUCCUUUUGUAUAAUUUGGCAUAACCUCAUUUUUCCACGUGCAUUAAAGUGCUCAUACUGUUAAUUCUCAGAUUAAACUGGAUGGAACCGUGAACAAUUUGUCAUUUGUGAGUGAGAGAGUGUUUCUGCAGAUGUGGGCGUGCACAAGCAAGGGGGGAAAUGUGGGUGUGAGUACGGACAUGGACACGGCCAGGGAGAGAGUAACCUACUUUCAGAAC
Long non-coding RNA from Oncorhynchus tshawytscha (Chinook salmon), 3340 nucleotides. The record is from Ensembl. Lineage: Eukaryota; Metazoa; Chordata; Actinopteri; Salmoniformes; Salmonidae.